GAUGAACGCUGGCGGCGUGCCUAAUACAUGCAAGUCGAGCGAACAGAUAAGGAGCUUGCUCCUUUGAAGUUAGCGGCGGACGGGUGAGUAACACGCGGGUAACCUACCUAUAAGACUGGGAUAACUUCGGGAAACCGGAGCUAAUACCGGAUAACAUUUAGAACCGCAUGGUUCUAAAGUGAAAGAUGGUUUUGCUAUCACUUAUAGAUGGACCCGCGCCGUAUUAGCUAGUUGGUAAGGUAACGGCUUACCAAGGCGACGAUACGUAGCCGACCUGAGAGGGUGAUCGGCCACACUGGAACUGAGACACGGUCCAGACUCCUACGGGAGGCAGCAGUAGGGAAUCUUCCGCAAUGGGCGAAAGCCCGACGGAGCAACGCCGCGUGAGUGAUGAAGGGUUUCGGCUCGUAAAACUCUGUUAUUAGGGAAGAACAAAUGUGUAAGUAACUGUGCACAUCUUGACGGUACCUAAUCAGAAGCCACGGCUAACUACGUGCCAGCAGCCGCGGUAAUAUGUAGGUGGCAAGCGUUAUCCGGAAUUAUUGGGCGUAAAGCGCGCGUAGGCGGUUUCUUAAGUCUGAUGUGAAAGCCCACGGCUCAACCGUGGAGGGUCAUUGGAAACUGGGAAACUUGAGUGCAGAAGAGGAAAGUGGAAUUCCAUGUGUAGCGGUGAAAUGCGCGGAGAUAUGGAGGAACACCAGUGGCGAAGGCGACUUUCUGGUCUGUAACUGACGCUGAUGUGCGAAAGCGUGGGGAUCAAACAGGAUUAGAUACCCUGGUAGUCCACGCCGUAAACGAUGAGUGCUAAGUGUUAGGGGGUUUCCGCCCCUUAGUGCUGCAGCUAACGCAUUAAGCACUCCGCCUGGGGAGUACGACCGCAAGGUUGAAACUCAAAGGAAUUGACGGGGACCCGCACAAGCGGUGGAGCAUGUGGUUUAAUUCGAAGCAACGCGAAGAACCUUACCAAAUCUUGACAUCCUUUGAAAACUCUAGAGAUAGAGCCUUCCCCUUCGGGGGACAAAGUGACAGGUGGUGCAUGGUUGUCGUCAGCUCGUGUCGUGAGAUGUUGGGUUAAGUCCCGCAACGAGCGCAACCCUUAAGCUUAGUUGCCAUCAUUAAGUUGGGCACUCUAGGUUGACUGCCGGUGACAAACCGGAGGAAGGUGGGGAUGACGUCAAAUCAUCAUGCCCCUUAUGAUUUGGGCUACACACGUGCUACAAUGGACAAUACAAAGGGCAGCUAAACCGCGAGGUCAUGCAAAUCCCAUAAAGUUGUUCUCAGUUCGGAUUGUAGUCUGCAACUCGACUACAUGAAGCUGGAAUCGCUAGUAAUCGUAGAUCAGCAUGCUACGGUGAAUACGUUCCCGGGUCU
RNAcentral lists this ribosomal RNA (1371 nucleotides) under uncultured bacterium. RNAcentral's name for it is "bacterial SSU rRNA". It matches the Rfam family "Bacterial small subunit ribosomal RNA", at positions 28 to 1381 of the family's 1533-position model. The record is from RNAcentral.